CCUAACCAAAUGUUUAUGGUGAAGUCUUGAUUGGAAUGUCAAUUCAUUUUCAAAAAGACUCUCUUCCUCCUGAAACUUCAUUCUUUGAUGACCUGUGUAUCCUUUCUUGACAGCCACUUCAGUACCAUCUGGUAGCUUCCCUCUGUAAACAUCAUAAGAACUCCCCACGCCAAUCUUGUUCUGUAGUGAGAAAUAAUUGGUUGCAGCAGCAAUUUGAGCCAAUGUAAAUUCCUCUGCUCUAUUCAGUCUCCAUACAUGUGCGGUUGGCCUUUCUUUUGUAGUAUUUCCUGAAAGUCUCGAAGACAAUAGACCAAAGGAGAAGAUUAUUAUCAGCAUGCUGAGACAAAAA
This 349-nucleotide unclassified non-coding RNA is filed under the name Hevea brasiliensis (rubber tree). The record is from RNAcentral. Lineage: Eukaryota; Viridiplantae; Streptophyta; Magnoliopsida; Malpighiales; Euphorbiaceae.